CCUACGGGAGGCUGCAGUGAGGAAUAUUGGUCAAUGGGCGCGAGCCUGAACCAGCCAAGUAGCGUGAAGGAUGACUGCCCUACGGGUUGUAAACUUCUUUUAUAAAGGAAUAAAGUGAGGCACGUGUGCCUUUUUGUAUGUACUUUAUGAAUAAGGAUCGGCUAACUCCGUGCCAGCAGCCGCGGUAAUACGGAGGAUCCGAGCGUUAUCCGGAUUUAUUGGGUUUAAAGGGAGCGUAGAUGGGUUGUUAAGUCAGGUGUGAAAGUUUGCGGCUCAACCGUAAAAUUGCAAUUGAUACUGGUAGACUUGAGUACAGUUGAGGUAGGCGGAAUUCGUGGUGUAGCGGUGAAAUGCUUAGAUAUCACGAAGAACUCCGAUUGCGAAGGCAGCUUACUAAACUGCCACUGACAUUGAUGCUCGAAAGUGUGGGUAUCAAACAGGAUUAGAUACCCCUGUAGUC
RNAcentral lists this ribosomal RNA (460 nucleotides) under uncultured bacterium. Its description in RNAcentral is "partial 16S ribosomal RNA". It matches the Rfam family "Bacterial small subunit ribosomal RNA", at positions 338 to 795 of the family's 1533-position model. The record is from RNAcentral.